CCUACGGGUGGCAGCAGUGGGGAAUAUUGCACAAUGGGGGAAACCCUGAUGCAGCGACGCCGCGUGAGCGAGGAAGUAUUUCGGUAUGUAAAGCUCUAUCAGCAGGGACGAAAAAAGACGGUACCUGACUAAGAAGCCCCGGCUAACUACGUGCCAGCAGCCGCGGUAAUACGUAGGGGGCAAGCGUUAUCCGGAUUUACUGGGUGUAAAGGGAGCGUAGACGGCAAGGCAAGCCAGAAGUGAAAGGGCAGGGCUCAACCCUGUACAUGCUUUUGGAACUGUGGUGCUAGAGUGCAGGAGAGGUAAGUGGAAUGCCAUGUGUAGCGGUAAAAUGCGUAGAUAUAUGGAGGAACACCAGUGGCGAAGGCGGUCGCCUGGCCUGUAACUGACGCUGAGGCACGAAAGCGUGGGGAGCAAAUAGGAUUAGAUACCCUAGUAGUC
RNAcentral lists this ribosomal RNA (441 nucleotides) under uncultured bacterium. RNAcentral describes it as "partial 16S ribosomal RNA". It matches the Rfam family "Bacterial small subunit ribosomal RNA", at positions 338 to 795 of the family's 1533-position model. The record is from RNAcentral.